This 399-nucleotide long non-coding RNA is filed under the name Ananas comosus (pineapple). RNAcentral describes it as "long non-coding RNA (ACOM_LNC002956)". The record is from RNAcentral. Lineage: Eukaryota; Viridiplantae; Streptophyta; Magnoliopsida; Poales; Bromeliaceae.
GUAACGCGAACUACAGUAUAAGAGAAAAGAAAGUAACAGCUGAAAUAAAAAUCUACAGCUAUUAUGAAGCGCAUGACAUUUUAGUCCUCGAACUGUAAUGCAUUGCAGUUUCUAGCUCAAACUAUGAGACACGUGACAUUUUAGUUCUCAAACUUUAGUUAGUUGUAAUUUCUGACUUAAAAUAUAAGGCAUCCGAAACACGUGAUUUUGUCUUUUAUUCUUUUUAGUUUUCUUAUACUUCCAUUCUUAUAUAUAUUUGUACUGCAGCAGCAACUGCUUCUUCUUCAGCUUUUUUUACUUUUAUAUUUUUAGUAAUCUUUGACCUUUUCUUUUAUUUUUCUUAUACUUUUACUAUUUCUUUUUAUUUAUUUAUUUUUGUGAAAUGGACUUACGAUCUAC